GGGGCCGUAAAGGUUUCGACGGGGAUUUGGAAGCGAAGUAAGCGAGCAGAAGCGCACAACUUCUUUAAAAUGUGUACUUUAAAAUUAAACGCUAACAAUAAUAAAUUAGCAGUCGCUGCCUAAGUGCAGUGACCGUCGUACCGAGGAGCACCGCGGCCUCGGAUACGGCGUCACUUAGCGGUGAACGUGCGUAGGGUUAAGCUUUGCCCCCUGCCAUGAACUAAUGAAGCUACCGUAUGUGAUUGCCUGCCGUUCGGCGAGCGCAUAGGGGAAUCUUAAUGAACGGCUGCGCUCGGAGAAAGCAUCGUGGACGGGUUUUCGGACAGGGGUUCGAUUCCCCUCGGCUCCACCA
This 352-nucleotide transfer-messenger RNA is filed under the name Eubacteriales. Its description in RNAcentral is "UBA1752 sp017630915 Standard tmRNA". It matches the Rfam family "transfer-messenger RNA". Rfam says of the family: Bacterial tmRNA, also known as 10Sa RNA or SsrA, is named for its dual tRNA and mRNA-like properties. Lineage: Bacteria; Bacillati; Bacillota; Clostridia. The record is from RNAcentral. RNAcentral also lists the same sequence under 1 other name.